This is a long non-coding RNA of Pantherophis guttatus, 359 nucleotides long. RefSeq lists it as uncharacterized. Lineage: Eukaryota; Metazoa; Chordata; Lepidosauria; Squamata; Colubridae. The record is from RefSeq and is a predicted model, not a curated record.
AGAAAAAUCUGCCGGAUAAAGGCCUUUUGAAAUUUGUCUGAGAGCCAUACGUGAGUUGCCAUUCCUACCUUAAAACAAGAAACCCUAAUUCUGGAUGUGGCACAGAUCCAUGUAUUAAACGUAGUCCUGCAGAUAUCCCAACUUACUCCAAAGAAUUACCUAUUCUUCCAGAGUAGAUGUGGGAAGUUUACAGGCCUUGUCUGAUCUCAAGAAACUAAACAGGAUCAGCCUGGAUUAGCAUUUGGAUGGAGACCACCAGGUCUGCAGACUAGAUCAGGAAAUUGAGAAAACAUUCUAGAAGAAAACAAUGACUUACUGUUUCCAUAAUGUUGCCUAAGAAAAUUACAUAGAUGUGUCCC